Molecule: long non-coding RNA, 600 nt
Filed under: Heterocephalus glaber (naked mole-rat)
Lineage: Eukaryota; Metazoa; Chordata; Mammalia; Rodentia; Bathyergidae
Description: lncRNA (ENSHGLG00000047957.1)
Source: RNAcentral
GUGGACGUCACCGACGGAGCUGUGCACACAGAUCCACAGAGGUGGGCACCGUGGCACAUGGAAGGCAGAACUCGCAGGCCAGCUCUGCACACCACGGUCAGCAGAUGACACUAACAGUGAUCCCAUGCCACCCGGGGGACAGUGAUCACCGUCUCGGUCACCCGGGGCGUGCUGUCCAGGGAGCCUGUCUACACCAAGCCCCGCUGGGUGUGUCCAGCGCUGCCCAGCCCAGGCCGGCACCAAGGCAGGGGUGGGGUCUCCCGGGGCCUCUGGCCUUGGGUGUGGGAACACAGCCUUUCCGGGUGCAGGACUCAGGACGGAUGCUUCAGACAGGAGAAACCGGAGUGCACAGUGCAGGGCUCACCCUGGCCGCUCCAGUCCCUUCUAACCUCAUCCCCCGAGUGGCCAAGUGUGGUGAGGUUUCCUGGAGGCUCCCUGGUCCUGCGGGUCGGGUCAUCCUGUACACAGGCACGGGCGCGGCCUGGCGCACGGCGGAGGAGGCCGUGUACCCCGCGGGCUCCUCACUCGCUGGCGCCUCGCGGGACGCCGGGCCUGGGUCCCUGCCAAGCCGGACCCCAAGGAAGGCGGGCUGGAGCGGGG